GCGGCCGGGUGGGGCGGCGGCCAGGCAUCCCGGCCGCUCGGGAUUGGGCCUCCGAUCUGGCCCCGGCAACCCAGGGGAGGGUCCCCCUGGCGAAAGCGGGACGGGGUGCCCUGGGAGCCUCCGACCCAGCUAGGGUACCGAGCCCGGGCGAGUCUGGAGGCGGGCGAGUCCGCCCAGGCUGCAGAGAUUUGCCGCGGGCGCGCUUGCCGGGGGGCGCGAGCGAGGGCCUCUGCGGGCUCCAGCGACCCCUCCCCCCAGGCUCCCACUCCCCUACCCUCCCACCAAAGGGGGCUUCUCCGCUCCACAUGUCAUCUCCUCCCUCCUCCUGGCCAUCUUUUCGCCUCUCUCUUCUGGCAGGAUCUCCAACGCCUGUAUGGUAGCUUCCGGAGCCAGAUGCCCUCCGGGCCAGCUCCCCCAGUGGGGCUCCGGGGAGCUCUCGCCCCGCCCCCUUCGGCGCGGGGGCCCCAGGGAGGGGCGGAGCAGCCCUUCCUUAGGGAAUGCAAACCUUCCCACUGGGUGCCCGGGCCCUGCCGGGUGGCUGGGCCUCUGCAAACACGCCGCCCUGCGGGGAGCGCGGUGGGAAAAAGCUCCUCCCAGGUCCCGCUCCCCUGCACGCACGGCCCUCACACGCUGCUCUCUUUCCCUGGUUUCCACCCGCGCCAGGUGAUGCGCAGAGCUGAAACCAUGGUCCAUCAGGUGCUCUACCGGGCGCUGGUCUCCACCAAGUGGCUGGCGGAGUCGGUUCGGGCUGGCAAGCUGGGGCCUGGCCUGCGGGUGCUGGACGCGUCCUGGUACUCGCCGGGCACCCGCGAGGCCCGCAAGGAGUACCUAGAGCGCCAUGUGCCCGGCGCCUCCUUCUUUGAUAUGGAGGAGUGCCGGGACGCGGCGUCGCCCUACGAGAUGAUGCUGCCCAGCGAGGCCGACUUCGCCCGCUACGUGGGCCGCCUGGGCAUCAGCAACCAGACCCAUGUGGUGGUUUACGAUGGUGACCACCUGGGCUCCUUCUAUGCGCCGCGGGUCUGGUGGAUGUUCCGUGUGUUCGGCCACCGCACCGUGUCGGUGCUCAACGGCGGCUUCCGGAACUGGCUGAAGGAGGGCCACCCGGUGACCUCUGAGCCCUCACGCCCAGAGCCGGCUAACUUCGAAGCCACACUGGACCGCUCCCUGCUCAAGACCUACGAGCAGGUGCUGGAGAACCUUGAGUCUAAGAGGUUCCAGUUGGUGGAUGCCCGGUCCCAAGGACGGUACCUGGGCACCGAGCCAGAGCCAGAUGCAGUAGGCCCCGAGCCCUCGCUGGCAGAGACGAGGGGGACCCCCGCCUCCUGGGGCUGGCCCAGUUUGGGAAGCCAGAGUCACGGAAACCCCCAGACUUCUCUACUCCCAAGAGGUGCCUUUUAUGCAACCAAGAAAGCAGGGGCGCUGUUGGCAUCGGGGACCAGAGGAAAGAAACAAGACGGCAUUCAGAACUCCACAGACAUUCGCGCUUUGAAAUACACUUCCAUUCAGCCCAGUGCCUGGAUGCCCAAAGAUUUCUAAGUUGGAUUUCUUGGCACGGGAGGCCCUUGAAGCCAACAGAUCCAUUGGCUUCUCCCUGGUAGGGGCGGCAGGCGUCCAGCCUCCGAUGAAAAUUUCCAGACGAAGAGAUAAAAUUCCCACAGGAAAGACUCCCCGGAAUGUAUAAGUGGAGACCUCUAUGCGGUCAAAGGAACCCCUGACUCAUGCCGGACUGGAUCCGGGCCACAUCCGAGGCUCAGUCAACAUGCCGUUCGUGGACUUCUUGACCGAGGACGGCUUCGAGAAGAGCCCAGAGGAGCUGCGUGCUCUGUUCGAGGCCAAGAAGGUGAAUCUGGCCCAGCCCCUCA
Molecule: RNA transcript, 1862 nt
Organism: Felis catus (domestic cat)
Lineage: Eukaryota; Metazoa; Chordata; Mammalia; Carnivora; Felidae
Gene: TST
Gene name: thiosulfate sulfurtransferase
Exons: 3
Source: RefSeq, a predicted model, not a curated record